RNAcentral lists this small RNA (597 nucleotides) under Pongo abelii (Sumatran orangutan). RNAcentral describes it as "processed transcript". Lineage: Eukaryota; Metazoa; Chordata; Mammalia; Primates; Hominidae. The record is from RNAcentral.
GUCGCGGCGCCUUCGGAGGUGGCGGAUGCGGUCGUGAGCCGGCGGGGGAGGUGCUGCUGCUGCCUCCACUGUACUCAGACCCAGGUAGCACAGGAUUGUCCAUCCGCCAGCAGCUCAGUGCAACGGUGUGAACUCAGCCUGUUUCAGAGCCUUCCUACCAUGACCUAGGCUACUCUGAAGCAGGUGGCUGAGCCCUGGCCCUGGCCUGAUGCAGGACAGGUUGGCAGGGAGGCAGCAGAGCCAAAUUUUGUACAAAGGAGCUGGUGCUAGCAAGCUCAGGAAGAAGCCACAGCCGGAAGUUCACCUUGCCAGGACCUGGCUCAGCUGCAGGUUCCCACCGGGCCACCAGACCUCCAAAAAGCUGGUGAACUCGGUGGCUGGCUGUGCUGAUGACGCUCUUGCUGGCCUGGUGGCCUGCAACCCCAACCUGCAGCUCCUGGAGGGCCACCGCGUGGCCCUCCGUUCUGACCUGGACAGCCUCAAGGGCCAGGUGGCACUGCUGUCGGGUGGGGGCUCUGGCCAUGAGCCUGCCCAUGCUGGUUUCAUAGGGAAGGGGAUGCUGACUGGGGUCAUCGCAGGAGCCGUGUUCACCUCCCC